UAAAAAUAUUUCCUGUCAGCAAAUUUCUAUAGAAAAGUGUUAUGGUAAAAAUGCAGAAGUAGUAAAAUAUCACUUGUAAUGGCUUUCAAAAGUGCACCAUGUUUGGAAGACCAGUGGUGGCAUUUUCCCAUUGAGGACAGAAGAUGUGAUCUGCUGACUCCUGGUGCUGCAUGUCUGGUGAUGACCAGACAUUGGACUAAGUAUAAGAGUUCUACAUGGAUAUACAAGAGACUGCAGAUGCUGGAAAUCUGGAGAAAUAAAAUGCUGGAGGAACUCAGUAGGUCCCAAAACAUCGACUAUCCAUUUCCUUCCAUGGAUGCUGCCUGACCAGCUGAGUUCCUUCAACAUUUUCUGUUGCUCCAGCUAGCCAUUCUUGCUUUGUUUCCUAUGUUGGUUGCAACUCUGCUCUACUCCAAGAUUUUGAACUGGCCUAGCUGACUUAAACAGAACAGUUGCCUGGGGACUGUUGAUUUUAUAAGACAUUUAUCAAAUUCUGCUUAAAGUCCUUCAAUGUGAAACUUUAACUCUGCUUCUCCCUCCAUGGAUGUUGACUGAUCUAAGUAUUUUCUACUUUUGUUAGCCUCCAGCUUCUGCAGUGUUUUGCUUUUGGAGUAUUCCUGUUGUAUUUGAACCUUUCAGUAUGCAAGUACCAAUAAAAUAAAAGCUUACUAACAUGGGACUUUCCAAAAUGUCUCAAAGUACUUUCCAGCUGAUGGGGUACUUUUGAAGUUGUAAUGUGGGAAUCAUGGCAGCUGAUCUUUAAAUGAAGUACUUCCACAAUGUGAUGUGGAUUUAAAAAUGAGUAAUCAAUCAGAACACUAAGGAAAGCACUAAUGCUUUUUCUUUCUAAUUCCAAAUGGUAUCUUUAAAGUUCCAUGCAGAUGUGAUCUUGGUGUGAAAUGCAUACAAAGGAUGACAUCUCUAACAAUGCACUGCCCUCUUAAUACUGCAGUGGGAUUUAGUAUUUGAGUUUUUAAACUUGAAGCCAUGAGGCUCCAUUGCAUAUUACUGCCCUCCAAGCCAUAGAUCACAGUAGAUUGAUAGGUAUGGGAACUGGAUCUAUCAAUAUUAUAAGCAGCAUUCCAAUUUAAAACUGCCAGCCUCAUUACUGAAAAUCCCCUAGAUAAGCAUGAUUGCACCUCAUCCCUGAUGGAUUAGGUGACCCACAGAGCAAUGGAAGUAGAAAUUACUCCAGUGUUACCCCAGAUAUUGCUGCACAGUGACUAGAAAUCUCAAAUAUUUAGAAUUCUGUAGUGCUACAUUAGACUGUAACUACCUUUUUGAUUUUAAAGAUUCUAUCUGUGUUUAUUUGUUAAAUACUAAUCUUUGUUUAAAUCUACAAUGGUUCUACAUAACUAAUACUUAAUAGGCAUGAAGCAGCACUUGAUGGAUGGGUUGCAAUCUGUACAGUAUAUUGCCAGCGAAGUUCACAUAAAUUGACCCCAAAAAAAAAUCAUCUGCAGAUCCACACUGUGGGCAGGCUGCAGCUAAUGAAUUGUCAAUUUAUGGAACAGUGGAUAAAUAGACCACUGCAGUGAGCACUCAGAGAAGGCAGAUGGGCUCUGUGGAAAAGUACAGUAAUCAGUUGGCUUGUAACCAGGUCUGUGGUACCAUCAGCUGCAGACAACUGGCUAUGCAAAAAAAAUUAAAGGAAUUCACUUUACAAGUAAAAUGGUAUUCA
Molecule: long non-coding RNA, 1681 nt
Organism: Pristis pectinata (smalltooth sawfish)
Lineage: Eukaryota; Metazoa; Chordata; Chondrichthyes; Rhinopristiformes; Pristidae
Exons: 3
Source: RefSeq, a predicted model, not a curated record